CAGCCGCCGCGGUAAUACGAAGGGUGCAAGCGUUACUCGGAAUUACUGGGCGUAAAGCGUGCGUAGGUGGUGGUUUAAGUCCGUUGUGAAAGCCCUGGGCUCAACCUGGGAAUUGCAGUGGAUACUGGGUCACUAGAGUGUGGUAGAGGAUAGUGGAAUUUCCGGUGUAGCAGUGAAAUGCGUAGAGAUCGGAAGGAACAUCUGUGGCGAAGGCGACUAUCUGGGCCAACACUGACACUGAGGCACGAAAGCGUGGGGAGCAAACAGGAUUAGAUACCCGUGUAGUCCCUGUCUCUUAUAA
This 301-nucleotide ribosomal RNA is filed under the name uncultured bacterium. Its description in RNAcentral is "partial 16S ribosomal RNA". It matches the Rfam family "Bacterial small subunit ribosomal RNA", at positions 509 to 809 of the family's 1533-position model. The record is from RNAcentral.